This 253-nucleotide ribosomal RNA is filed under the name uncultured bacterium. RNAcentral's name for it is "partial 16S ribosomal RNA". It matches the Rfam family "Bacterial small subunit ribosomal RNA", at positions 524 to 776 of the family's 1533-position model. The record is from RNAcentral.
UACGGAGGGUGCAAGCGUUAAUCGGAAUUACUGGGCGUAAAGCGCGCGUAGGCGGUUAGUUAAGCGAGAUGUGAAAGCCCCGGGCUCAACCUGGGAACUGCAUUUCGAACUGGCUAACUAGAGUACAGUAGAGGGUGGUAGAAUUUCCAGUGUAGCGGUGAAAUGCGUAGAGAUUGGAAGGAAUACCAGUGGCGAAGGCGGCCACCUGGACUGAUACUGACGCUGAGGUGCGAAAGCGUGGGGAGCAAACAGG